RNAcentral lists this ribosomal RNA (1245 nucleotides) under metagenome. RNAcentral describes it as "bacterial LSU rRNA". It matches the Rfam family "Bacterial large subunit ribosomal RNA", at positions 1564 to 2818 of the family's 2925-position model. The record is from RNAcentral.
UGAAUACGAGACGCUAAGGCGUCGAAGUAGUGUAUGUCAUACUUCCAAGAAAAGCUUGCACUGUCAUAGAUAAAAAACGCCUGUACCAUAACCGACACAGGUGGGUAGGUAGAGUAUACUAAGGGGCGCGAGAUAACUCUCUCUAAGGAACUCGGCAAAAUAACUCCGUAACUUCGGGAGAAGGAGUGCCUUAUUCUUAAGGUUGCAAUAACAAGAUCCAAGCAACUGUUUAUCAAAAACACAGGUCUCCGCUAAGUCGUAAGACGAUGUAUGGGGGCUGACGCCUGCCCAGUGCCAGAAGGUUAAAGAAGCUGGUUAGCAUUUGCGAAGCUAGUAACUGAAGCCCUGGUGAACGGCGGCCGUAACAAUAACGGUCCUAAGGUAGCGAAAUUCCUUGUCGGGUAAGUUCCGACCCGCACGAAAGGCGUAAUGAUUUGGAUACUGUCUCGGAGAGGGGCUCGGUGAAAUAGACUUGUCUGUGAAGAUGCGGACUACCUGCACCAGGACAGAAAGACCCUAUGAAGCUUUACUGUAACUUGAAAUUGAAAUUGGACUUUAUUCGCGCAGUAUAGGUGGGAGGCGUUGAUUAUAAUCUUGCGGGAUUAUUGGAGCCAUUAGUGAGAUACCACUCUUGUAAUGUUAGAUUUCUAACUUUGAAUCAUUAUCUGGUCAAAGAACAGUUUCAGGCGGGCAGUUUGACUGGGGCGGUCGCCUCCUAAACGGUAACGGAGGCGUACAAAGGUUUCCUCUGAACGGUUAGAAAUCGUAUCUAGAGUGUAAAGGCAUAAGGAAGCUUGACUGUGAGACCUACAAGUCGAGCAGGGACGAAAGUCGGUCUUAGUGAUCUGACGGUACUGAGUGGAAAGGCCGUCACUCAACGGAUAAAAGUUACUCUAAGGAUAACAGGCUGAUCUCCCCCAAGAGUUCACAUCGACGGGGAGGUUUGGCACCUCGAUGUCGGCUCAUCGCAUCCUGGGGCGGUAGUACGUCCCAAGGGUUGGGCUGUUCGCCCAUGAAAGCGGUACGCGAGCUGGGUUCAGAACGUCGUGAGACAGUUCGGUCCAUAUCCGGUGUAGGCGUUAGAAUAUUGAGAGGAGCCUUCUUUAGUACGAGAGGACCGAGAAGGACAUACCUCUGGUGUACCAGUUAUCGUGCCAACGGUAAACGCUGGGUAGCUAUGUAUGGAGUGGAUAACCGCUGAAAGCAUCUAAGUGGGAAGCCCACCUCAAGAUAAGUAUUCUCAAC